Molecule: long non-coding RNA, 615 nt
Organism: Homalodisca vitripennis (glassy-winged sharpshooter)
Lineage: Eukaryota; Metazoa; Arthropoda; Insecta; Hemiptera; Cicadellidae
Exons: 3
Source: RefSeq, a predicted model, not a curated record
CAGCGGACGUAAGGAUAUGGAAGUAAUUACUUUGCAUGUGGUUUGUACAACAGCUGUAGUGAGUUUAAAAUAAACAGUACGAAGUCAAACAAAGUGUUUUAUUUUUGCAACUCCUUCACCCCCCGCUGUGCUUAGUAUAUGAGCGCUCAGUCGCUCAAUCGCUCAGUCUGAGUUUCCAACAUGUACUGUUCAGUGUUAUUGUUGUUGUUCUUUGCUAUACUGCCUGGAGUCAUCGGAUCACCGCCGACUCCUCCUCCUCCUAUCGGUCAGCGGCAGCGAGAAGCACAACAGGUUGGUUUUUUAUCGUUUGUAUUGUUAUCCGAUUACUAAACUGAAGAUUUUUACUAUAAUAUUAUCUUUGUGGUUUUUACCAUCAGAUACCCGAUUCACCUGAUUCUCCUGACGCCCAGCAUGCUGAGGACUUUUUAGAGGCUUUAAUAGCAGAAGAACAGAUACCCGAUUCACCCGAUUCUCCAGGAGCCCAGCACGAUGAGGACUUUUUUGAGGCUUUAUUAGAAGAAGAAGAAGAACAGCAGUCAUCUGACCCUUGGGAAUUCCCAUCACGCGGUAGCUGCAGACGCAGAACUCCUCCUCCUUCGAGUUCUUCAGAUUCGG